UACGUAGGGGGCGAGCGUUGUCCGAAGUUACUGGGCGUAAAGCGCGCGUAGGCGGGCUAUUAAGUUGGAUGUGAAAUCUCCACGGCUCAACCGGGAAACUGCAUCCAAAACUGUUAGUCUUGAGGUAUGGAGAGGGAAGUGGAAUUCCUGGUGUAGCGGUGAAAUGCGUAGAUAUCAGGAGGAACACCCGUGGCGAAGGCGGCUUCCUGGCCAUAUCCUGACGCUGAGGUGCGAAAGCCAGGGGAGCGAACGGG
This 254-nucleotide ribosomal RNA is filed under the name uncultured bacterium. RNAcentral describes it as "partial 16S ribosomal RNA". It matches the Rfam family "Bacterial small subunit ribosomal RNA", at positions 524 to 776 of the family's 1533-position model. The record is from RNAcentral.